CCUUGGUCCUGCCCAGUAUACGUCAAGCGGUUACGACCAGGCUUUUCGCGUGGAACAACAUCUUAAGAAACUCAAUUAUGAACGACGAUCAUUCUUAAACACAAAAAUAAAUGUAAAAAUGCCGUAAUUCGGGACUUUUGACCAUUGUGGAAUGACCAUUCGAUUCCGCGCAUUGAGAAGUUCAAUCUUCUCAUUGCAUGUCUCUCUGGUGAGCGUCUUGGAACGGUGAGAGCGUUUCAACUCACCUAGGAUAACUAUGAGAAAGCAAUGGCAAUUCUGAAGAGAGUAUAUGUCUAAAAAGACCCUCCGCUUCAGCGUUGAGAAGCUUGAUUGGCACUGUCUCUGCGAUAUACGGAUCAUUGUUGUCGGUAGGUGAUGAUAAGAAGAUUGCAAAUGUUAUCUUUAUUUUUUGGUCAUGAACAAAGUCA
Molecule: long non-coding RNA, 428 nt
Organism: Drosophila nasuta
Lineage: Eukaryota; Metazoa; Arthropoda; Insecta; Diptera; Drosophilidae
Exons: 3
Source: RefSeq, a predicted model, not a curated record